UCAUUUAGAGGAAGUAAAAGUCGUAACAAGGUCUCCGUUGGUGAACCAGCGGAGGGAUCAUUAA
RNAcentral lists this ribosomal RNA (64 nucleotides) under Monosporascus eutypoides. RNAcentral describes it as "partial 18S ribosomal RNA". It matches the Rfam family "Eukaryotic small subunit ribosomal RNA", at positions 1769 to 1831 of the family's 1831-position model. The record is from RNAcentral. Lineage: Eukaryota; Fungi; Ascomycota; Sordariomycetes; Xylariales.